UCACUUUUUCAAAGUAGUCAU
Molecule: non-coding RNA, 21 nt
Organism: Caenorhabditis elegans
Lineage: Eukaryota; Metazoa; Nematoda; Chromadorea; Rhabditida; Rhabditidae
Source: Ensembl